Molecule: long non-coding RNA, 610 nt
Organism: Gallus gallus (chicken)
Lineage: Eukaryota; Metazoa; Chordata; Aves; Galliformes; Phasianidae
Exons: 3
Source: RefSeq, a predicted model, not a curated record
ACAGUGCAGGUGACAGAGCACUGAAGGAGGAGGCCCAGAGAUACUGUCUCCUUGAAGAUAUUCAAAAGCUGCCCAGACAUAGUUCUGAGAUGCCUGCAUUAGGUGUCCCUGCUUGAACAAUGAAAAAGAAGGCUGGACUAGAUGGCCUCCAAAGGUUCCUUCCCAAACCAACCAUUCUGAGAUUCUGUGAAGUUUUCCAAAUCCAGCUCAUAGGCACUUCAUCUUGGGGAACAGUAAAGCAGCCCAAUCAGCUAGGCUGAGGAAUGAAGUCUACCUCCUGACUCUCUCCUAUUCUUCCCUGAACUUGGACCCUGAUGCUUUUUAAAAGAAGUAUGAAGAGGACCUCUUUGUUCUUUCCCAAGGCCUAAGACUGCUCAACCAUGAAUUCCCACCUGCAGAUGAACACUGCUUGUACGCAUACUCAGAGCAAGGAUUGGGUCAGGGAUGGAAUAAGGGGUUCUGAAGCCAAAAAGGCUGCUGUUUCCUAUUUAUAAGACCAUGGUAAAACACCAUAAAUUGUUUAAUGUAUAAAAAGCAAGUGUACAAACAAUUUACAAAAAUUACAAUUAUCACUUUGCUCUUAACAGAAUAAAGAUGACAAUAAUUCCAA